AGAGUUUGAUCAUGGCUCAGAUUGAACGNCUGGCGGCAGGCCUAACACAUGCAAGUCGAGCGGAUGAGUGGAGCUUGCUCCAUGAUUCAGCGGCGGACGGGUGAGUAAUGCCUAGGAAUCUGCCUGGUAGUGGGGGACAACGUUUCGAAAGGAACGCUAAUACCGCAUACGUCCUACGGGAGAAAGUGGGGGAUCUUCGGACCUCACGCUAUCAGAUGAGCCUAGGUCGGAUUAGCUAGUUGGUGAGGUAAAGGCUCACCAAGGCGACGAUCCGUAACUGGUCUGAGAGGAUGAUCAGUCACACUGGAACUGAGACACGGUCCAGACUCCUACGGGAGGCAGCAGUGGGGAAUAUUGGACAAUGGGCGAAAGCCUGAUCCAGCCAUGCCGCGUGUGUGAAGAAGGUCUUCGGAUUGUAAAGCACUUUAAGUUGGGAGGAAGGGCAGUAAGUUAAUACCUUGCUGUUUUGACGUUACCAACAGAAUAAGCACCGGCUAACUUCGUGCCAGCAGCCGCGGUAAUACGAAGGGUGCAAGCGUUAAUCGGAAUUACUGGGCGUAAAGCGCGCGUAGGUGGUUCGUUAAGUUGGAUGUGAAAGCCCCGGGCUCAACCUGGGAACUGCAUCCAAAACUGGCGAGCUAGAGUAUGGCAGAGGGUGGUGGAAUUUCCUGUGUAGCGGUGAAAUGCGUAGAUAUAGGAAGGAACACCAGUGGCGAAGGCGAACACCUGGG
RNAcentral lists this ribosomal RNA (731 nucleotides) under uncultured Pseudomonas sp. Its description in RNAcentral is "bacterial SSU rRNA". It matches the Rfam family "Bacterial small subunit ribosomal RNA", at positions 8 to 733 of the family's 1533-position model. Lineage: Bacteria; Pseudomonadati; Pseudomonadota; Gammaproteobacteria; Pseudomonadales; Pseudomonadaceae. The record is from RNAcentral.